This 934-nucleotide ribosomal RNA is filed under the name uncultured Cortinarius. Its description in RNAcentral is "eukaryotic LSU rRNA". It matches the Rfam family "Eukaryotic large subunit ribosomal RNA", at positions 36 to 944 of the family's 3401-position model. The record is from RNAcentral. Lineage: Eukaryota; Fungi; Basidiomycota; Agaricomycetes; Agaricales; Cortinariaceae.
UAGCAUAUCAAUAAGCGGAGGAAAAGAAACUAACAAGGAUUCCCCUAGUAACUGCGAGUGAAGCGGGAAGAGCUCAAAUUUAAAAUCUGACGGUCAUCUGGCCGCUCCGAGUUGUAAUCUAGAGAAGUGCUAUCCGCGCUGGACCGUGUACAAGUCUCCUGGAAUGGAGCAUCAUAGAGGGUGAGAAUCCCGUCUUUGACAUGGACUGCCAGGGCUUUUGUGAUGCGCUCUCAAAGAGUCGAGUUGUUUGGGAAUGCAGCUCAAAACGGGUGGUAAAUUCCAUCUAAAGCUAAAUAUUGGCGAGAGACCGAUAGCGAACAAGUACCGUGAGGGAAAGAUGAAAAGAACUUUGGAAAGAGAGUUAAACAGUACGUGAAAUUGCUGAAAGGGAAACGCUUGAAGUCAGUCGCGUCGUCCAGGGAUCAACCUCGCUUUUGCUUGGUGCACUUCCUGGUUUGACGGGUCAGCAUCAAUUUUGACCGUUGGAAAAAGGUCAAGGGAAUGUGGCAUCCUUGGAUGUGUUUAUAGCCCUUGGUCGCAUACAAUGGUUUCGGGAUUGAGGAACUCAGCACGCCGCAAGGCCGGGUGUUACACCACGUACGUGCUUAGGAUGCUGACAUGUAUAAUGGCUUUAAUCGACCCGUCUUGAAACACGGACCAAGGAGUCUAACAUGCCUGCGAGUGUUUGGGUGGAAAACCCGAGCGCGCAAUGAAAGUGAAAGGUCGAGAUCCCUGUCGUGGGGAGCAUCGACGCCCGGACCAGACCUUUUGUGACGGUUCCGCGGUGGAGCAUGUAUGUUGGGACCCGAAAGAUGGUGAACUAUGCCUGAAUAGGGUGAAUCCAGAGGAAACUCUGGUGGAGGCUCGUAGCGAUUCUGACGUGCAAAUCGAUCGUCAAAUUUGGGUAUAGGGGCGAAAGACUAAUCGAACCAUC